GGGGCUAUAGCUCAGCUGGGAGAGCGCUUGCAUGGCGUGCAAGAGGGUCAGCGGUUCGAUCCCGCGCUUAGCUCCG
RNAcentral lists this transfer RNA (76 nucleotides) under Salmonella enterica subsp. enterica. RNAcentral describes it as "tRNA-Ala". Lineage: Bacteria; Pseudomonadati; Pseudomonadota; Gammaproteobacteria; Enterobacterales; Enterobacteriaceae. The record is from RNAcentral.